CACGGCCCUGUCUCCCAACCCUUGUACCAGUGCUGGGCUCAGACCCUGGUACAGGCCUGGGGGACAGGGACCUGGGGAUCCUGGCACCGGCAGGCCUGAAGGGGUGAGGUCAGCGGGCAUUCAGACCUCCCUUCCCUGUACCCCCAUCUCUGCUGCGGCUUUGAUGCAGGUCUCUCCCCGUUGGGUCCCACAGAUCCUCUGGUGUGCUCCUGCCUCGCUGUCCCCCCACCCCACGCCUGUCAUCCCACCUCUGUGAUGCGCAAAGUGCACCUGUUUCUAUCGUACCUGCCUCUCGCAGUGGUCUCUGUGCUCUCCCCAGCUCUGCAAAACCCUUCCUCCCCAUGUGCCACAACCCUGGGCCACUGUGUCUGUUCUGUCCUGCCCUGUUCCUCCCAAGGCCCCCAUCUCUGCGGCCUCUGGGUGUUGGGCCAUCUCCGGGCGCUUCCUACUCACUUCCUUCCCAGCAGCCUGGGCCCCGGUACCACUGAGCGGGCUCCAGGACAGCGUCAUGAUGCCACUUGCCCACACCACCGAUCUCCUUACUUCGAUUUUGAGGCAGCUGGCGCAAAGGAAAUUUCUAGAAUCUGAGAUCUGGAACUCAGCUACUCACUGGGACUCCAGGUGGAGGACUUGGCCUCUCCCAGGUGACUUUCCUCAUAUGCAAAUAGACACGGGUAGGAGGCCUCUCUGACAGCAGCCUUGCUCAAUUCCCCGAGGGACACCUCCAUCCCCCCAGUGCUCUGGUUAAGGCACAGAGAUCCCAAGUCUGGCCUGGGAAUGAGAAAAUAACUUUAUUGCAUCGUGGGGAGCAGGCCAAUGUCCAGCCUCAGAACUUCUGGAACUGCUUCUUGGUGCCGGCAGCCUUGGUGACCUUGAGCACGUUGAAGCGCACUGUCUUGCUCAGGGGCCGACACUCACCCACUGUGACGAUGUCACCGAUCUGGACGUCCCUGUGGAGGCAGGACUUCUCACCUUGCUCCCAAGAUCCUCCCCGCCCAGAAGGCCACCAUUAUCAGCUGCCCACAUCCCCACCCUCAUUGUACCUGGCUGACAUCUGGCACCCACCCUGCCUGAAGGUGCCCUCUGAGGAAGCAGGACUUUGUCCCUGGCUCACCACUGAACCCCCAGCAUCUCACACCAAACCUGGCACAUGAUAAGCUCUAAAUAAAACAUGCUGAGGGAAUGAACAAA
Molecule: long non-coding RNA, 1191 nt
Organism: Piliocolobus tephrosceles (Ugandan red Colobus)
Lineage: Eukaryota; Metazoa; Chordata; Mammalia; Primates; Cercopithecidae
Exons: 3
Source: RefSeq, a predicted model, not a curated record